RNAcentral lists this ribosomal RNA (425 nucleotides) under uncultured bacterium. RNAcentral describes it as "bacterial SSU rRNA". It matches the Rfam family "Bacterial small subunit ribosomal RNA", at positions 917 to 1341 of the family's 1533-position model. The record is from RNAcentral.
GGGCCCGCACAAGCGGUGGAGCAUGUGGUUUAAUUCGAUGCAACGCGAAAAACCUUACCUACCCUUGACAUCCUUGGAAUCUUUCAGAGAUGAGAGAGUGCCUUCGGGAACCAAGAGACAGGUGCUGCAUGGCUGUCGUCAGCUCGUGUCGUGAGAUGUUGGGUUAAGUCCCGUAACGAGCGCAACCCUGAUCCUUAGUUGCUACCAGUUUAAGCUGAGAACUUUAAGGAGACUGCCGGUGUUAAACCGGAGGAAGGUUGGGACGACGUCAAGUCAUCAUGGCCCUUAUGGGUAGGGCUACACACGUGCUACAAUGGUUGGUACAGAGGGCAGCGAAGCAGUGAUGUGGAGCGAAUCUCACAAAGCUUGUCUCAGUUCGGAUAGGAGUCUGCAACUCGACUCCUUGAAGUUGGAGUCGCUAGUAA